AAAUAUAAAUUUUGUUUAUUGUUUAUUGUGUUUCAUGUUGUAUAACUUUAGUUGCUUCUGUUUUUUAUGAACUAAUUCGUAUAUGAAAUUUCAAAAUAUGUUGAGUAAGGGAACUAAAUCAAAUAUGUUUGUUACUCUACAUGGGACGAUUGAUUUCAUCAGUCUGUGUAUAUCAAAGUCUUAAGUAUCCCCGUUAAUAUAAUAAUAACACCAUUAUUGUGUAUUCAAUUUUUAAGUCAACCAUGUCAUGUCAAAUAUGACUUUAACGUCAUUGAGCUUGUUUUAUAUAGGAUUGAGCUGCUAUCCUUGAUUAUAUUCCAAUGAUUUCUUCAGUACAUUUCAUUAGAGCUCACGGUGUCGGCGUGUCCUUAACUGUUAUUUUGCAUCUCGUGUUUGCUGUCUUUAAUAGUACUUUGUGUUCCAUUUUUCAAUAUGGAAUUUUUGGGCUGGCGUGAUUGGCUGGGAUUGCUUGCAGCUUGUUUCUUUUUCUUUAGUCUGCUCUACAGUGCUAGGUUGCUAGGUAUUAGGAAAUGUCAGACCUUUGUUAAUAAGAAUUCUGCCAGCGCCUAUCUAAAACCCACCAAGGAAAAUUCGGUAGACCAUGGCGAAAAUGUGGACUCGGAAUUGGUCGUUAGCAACGAAUGAUUGAUCGGGGUUCAGUGUUGGACCUUAUACUUGUUCUAAGCUGUGUAUGGAGGUUUUACAUUCAGUCGAAACUAAUCAUCGAUUAUUGCAAGAGCAUUCUGAUGGAGGUUGGUGCCAAAAAAUGGCGUUUGAAGAUGUCCUUAAUUACUGUUCGUAUGCUUUGGUAUUUUCAUAUAUUAAAAUGUAUAUCUGGCUUCCUGUUUUCUCUUACCACGUUUCCCAUUGAUUUGUGAUAUAUUCGUAGCCGAUGAACCCUUAUCUGAUAGAACAAAUUUAGAAUAAUGGAGAAAAUAACGGGAUUGCUAUUCGUCAAGUCGCUAAAUAUCGCCUCAUAUUAAAUGUAUCAUGUGCAUUAUCUCUCCAGUUGGUCCAAUAAAACAUUUCUGACUGUUA
Molecule: long non-coding RNA, 1038 nt
Organism: Daphnia magna
Lineage: Eukaryota; Metazoa; Arthropoda; Branchiopoda; Diplostraca; Daphniidae
Exons: 4
Source: RefSeq, a predicted model, not a curated record